This 468-nucleotide ribosomal RNA is filed under the name uncultured organism. RNAcentral's name for it is "partial 16S ribosomal RNA". It matches the Rfam family "Bacterial small subunit ribosomal RNA", at positions 334 to 798 of the family's 1533-position model. The record is from RNAcentral.
CACUCCUGCGGGAGGCAGCAGUGAGGAAUAUUGGACAAUGGGUGGAAGCCUGAUCCAGCCAUCCCGCGUGCAGGAAGACGGCCCUAUGGGUUGUAAACUGCUUUUAUCUGGGGAUAAACCUACUUACGUGUAAGUAGCUGAAGGUACCAGAAGAAUAAGCACCGGCUAACUCCGUGCCAGCAGCCGCGGUAAUACGGAGGGUGCAAGCGUUAUCCGGAUUUAUUGGGUUUAAAGGGUCCGUAGGCGGACUGAUAAGUCAGUGGUGAAAUCCGACAGCUUAACUGUCGAACUGCCAUUGAUACUGUUAGUCUUGAGUAAGGUUGAAGUGGCUGGAAUAAGUAGUGUAGCGGUGAAAUGCAUAGAUAUUACUUAGAACACCAAUUGCGAAGGCAGGUCACUAAGUCUUAACUGACGCUGAUGGACGAAAGCGUGGGGAGCGAACAGGAUUAGAAACCCUUGUAGUCCCAU